GACGUAGGGCGCGAGCGUUGUCCGGAUUUAUUGGGCGUAAAGAGCUCGUAGGCGGCUUGUCGCGUCGGCUGUGAAAUCCCGUGGCUCAACUGCGGGUCUGCAGCCGAUACGGGCAGGCUAGAGUUCGGUAGGGGAGACUGGAAUUCCUGGUGUAGCGGUGAAAUGCGCAGAUAUCAGGAGGAACACCGGUGGCGAAGGCGGGUCACUGGGCCGCAACUGACGCUGAGGAGCGAAAGCAUGGGGAGCGAACAGG
Molecule: ribosomal RNA, 253 nt
Filed under: uncultured bacterium
Lineage: Bacteria
Description: partial 16S ribosomal RNA
Rfam family: Bacterial small subunit ribosomal RNA
Source: RNAcentral